Molecule: transfer RNA, 72 nt
Filed under: Elusimicrobiaceae bacterium
Lineage: Bacteria; Pseudomonadati; Elusimicrobiota; Elusimicrobia; Elusimicrobiales; Elusimicrobiaceae
Description: tRNA-Arg
Rfam family: tRNA
About the family: Transfer RNA (tRNA) molecules are approximately 80 nucleotides in length. Their secondary structure includes four short double-helical elements and three loops (D, anti-codon, and T loops). Further hydrogen bonds mediate the characteristic L-shaped molecular structure. tRNAs have two regions of fundamental functional importance: the anti-codon, which is responsible for specific mRNA codon recognition, and the 3' end, to which the tRNAs corresponding amino acid is attached (by aminoacyl-tRNA synthetases). tRNAs cope with the degeneracy of the genetic code in two manners: having more than one tRNA (with a specific anti-codon) for a particular amino acid; and 'wobble' base-pairing, i.e. permitting non-standard base-pairing at the 3rd anti-codon position.
Source: RNAcentral
GCGCCCGUAGUUCAAUGGAUAGAGCAUCGGCCUCCGAAGCCGAAUAUAUGGGUUCAACUCCCGUCGGGCGCG